GACGAACGCUGGCGGCGUGCUUAACACAUGCAAGUCGAACGGAAAGGCCCUGCUUUUGUGGGGUGCUCGAGUGGCGAACGGGUGAGUAACACGUGAGUAACCUGCCCUUGACUUUGGGAUAACUUCAGGAAACUGGGGCUAAUACCGGAUAGGAGCUCCUGCUGCAUGGUGGGGGUUGGAAAGUUUCGGCGGUUGGGGAUGGACUCGCGGCUUAUCAGCUUGUUGGUGGGGUAGUGGCUUACCAAGGCUUUGACGGGUAGCCGGCCUGAGAGGGUGACCGGCCACAUUGGGACGGAGAUACGGCCCAGACUGCUACGGGAGGCAGCAGUGGGGAAUAUUGCACAAUGGGCGGAAGCCUGAUGCAGCAACGCCGCGUGCGGGAUGACGGCCUUCGGGUUGUAAACCGCUUUCGCCUGUGACGAAGCGUGAGUGACGGUAAUGGGUAAAGAAGCACCGGCUAACUACGUG
This 468-nucleotide ribosomal RNA is filed under the name uncultured bacterium. Its description in RNAcentral is "partial 16S ribosomal RNA". It matches the Rfam family "Bacterial small subunit ribosomal RNA", at positions 28 to 507 of the family's 1533-position model. The record is from RNAcentral.